ACGCUAGCUACAGGCUUAACACAUGCAAGUCGAGGGGAAACGGCAUUAAGUGCUUGCACUUUUUGGGCGUCGACCGGCGCACGGGUGAGUAACGCGUAUCCAACCUUCCCAUGACUAAGGGAUAACCUGCCGAAAGGCAGACUAAUACCUUAUGGUCUUCACUGACGGCAUCAGAUGUGAAGUAAAGAUUUAUCGGUUAUGGAUGGGGAUGCGUCUGAUUAGUUAGUUGGCGGGGUAACGGCCCACCAAGGCAACGAUCAGUAGGGGUUCUGAGAGGAAGGUCCCCCACAUUGGAACUGAGACACGGUCCAAACUCCUACGGGAGGCAGCAGUGAGGAAUAUUGGUCAAUGGGCGAGAGCCUGAACCAGCCAAGUAGCGUGCAGGAUGACGGCCCUAUGGGUUGUAAACUGCUUUUGUAUGAGGAUAAAGUCAAUCACGUGUGAUUGUUUGCAGGUACCAUACGAAUAAGGACCGGCUAAUUCCGUGCCAGCAGCCGCGGUAAUACGGAAGGUCCGGGCGUUAUCCGGAUUUAUUGGGUUUAAAGGGAGCGUAGGCUGGAGAUUAAGUGUGUUGUGAAAUGUAGACGCUCAACGUCUGACUUGCAGCGCAUACUGGUUUCCUUGAGUACGCACAACGUUGGCGGAAUUCGUCGUGUAGCGGUGAAAUGCUUAGAUAUGACGAAGAACUCCGAUUGCGAAGGCAGCUGACGGGAGCGCAACUGACGCUGAAGCUCGAAGGUGCGGGUAUCGAACAGGAUUAGAUACCCUGGUAGUCCGCACAGUAAACGAUGGAUGCCCGCUGUUGGUACGUGGUAUCAGCGGCUAAGCGAAAGCAUUAAGCAUCCCACCUGGGGAGUACGCCGGCAACGGUGAAACUCAAAGGAAUUGACGGGGGCCCGCACAAGCGGAGGAACAUGUGG
This 920-nucleotide ribosomal RNA is filed under the name uncultured bacterium. RNAcentral's name for it is "bacterial SSU rRNA". It matches the Rfam family "Bacterial small subunit ribosomal RNA", at positions 33 to 944 of the family's 1533-position model. The record is from RNAcentral.